UUUCGUUUCUUUUGGGUACCUUUUCGGUU
RNAcentral lists this non-coding RNA (29 nucleotides) under Rattus norvegicus (Norway rat). Lineage: Eukaryota; Metazoa; Chordata; Mammalia; Rodentia; Muridae. The record is from RNAcentral.